RNAcentral lists this ribosomal RNA (1111 nucleotides) under Lactobacillus helveticus. RNAcentral's name for it is "bacterial SSU rRNA". It matches the Rfam family "Bacterial small subunit ribosomal RNA", at positions 341 to 1445 of the family's 1533-position model. Lineage: Bacteria; Bacillati; Bacillota; Bacilli; Lactobacillales; Lactobacillaceae. The record is from RNAcentral.
ACGGGAGGCAGCAGUAGGGAAUCUUCCACAAUGGACGCAAGUCUGAUGGAGCAACGCCGCGUGAGUGAAGAAGGUUUUCGGAUCGUAAAGCUCUGUUGUUGGUGAAGAAGGAUAGAGGUAGUAACUGGCCUUUAUUUGACGGUAAUCAACCAGAAAGUCACGGCUAACUACGUGCCAGCAGCCGCGGUAAUACGUAGGUGGCAAGCGUUGUCCGGAUUUAUUGGGCGUAAAGCGAGCGCAGGCGGAAGAAUAAGUCUGAUGUGAAAGCCCUCGGCUUAACCGAGGAACUGCAUCGGAAACUGUUUUUCUUGAGUGCAGAAGAGGAGAGUGGAACUCCAUGUGUAGCGGUGGAAUGCGUAGAUAUAUGGAAGAACACCAGUGGCGAAGGCGACUCUCUGGUCUGCAACUGACGCUGAGGCUCGAAAGCAUGGGUAGCGAACAGGAUUAGAUACCCUGGUAGUCCAUGCCGUAAACGAUGAGUGCUAAGUGUUGGGAGGUUUCCGCCUCUCAGUGCUGCAGCUAACGCAUUAAGCACUCCGCCUGGGGAGUACGACCGCAAGGUUGAAACUCAAAGGAAUUGACGGGGGCCCGCACAAGCGGUGGAGCAUGUGGUUUAAUUCGAAGCAACGCGAAGAACCUUACCAGGUCUUGACAUCUAGUGCCAUCCUAAGAGAUUAGGAGUUCCCUUCGGGGACGCUAAGACAGGUGGUGCAUGGCUGUCGUCAGCUCGUGUCGUGAGAUGUUGGGUUAAGUCCCGCAACGAGCGCAACCCUUGUUAUUAGUUGCCAGCAUUAAGUUGGGCACUCUAAUGAGACUGCCGGUGACAAACCGGAGGAAGGUGGGGAUGACGUCAAGUCAUCAUGCCCCUUAUGACCUGGGCUACACACGUGCUACAAUGGACAGUACAACGAGAAGCGAGCCUGCGAAGGCAAGCGAAUCUCUGAAAGCUGUUCUCAGUUCGGACUGCAGUCUGCAACUCGACUGCACGAAGCUGGAAUCGCUAGUAAUCGCGGAUCAGAACGCCGCGGUGAAUACGUUCCCGGGCCUUGUACACACCGCCCGUCACACCAUUGAAGUCUGCAAUGCCCAAAGCCGGUGGCCUAACCUUCGG